GAAGAAAGGAGUGAGUUUCCAUUCCUAGCAAAUGAAGAAAAGACUCAUGAAGCUAUAGAAAGUUGACUAGAAAGGACCCAGAAACAAUCCAAUCCAGUUUAAAUGUGCUACCAUUAGGAACUGGAUCUGAAAUGCUCCCGACAGGCUCAUGUGUUUGACCAUCUCAACAUCAAUGGAUGGCGGAAGGAAUAUGUCUGGCUGGUGGUGGGUUCAGGGACCUGAGCCAUGCAGAGCACAGCUUGCAGUUCCAUUCUCACACUGCCUCUACAUCCACCAAGAUGUGAGCAGCUGCCACCUGCUGUCACAGACUUGGCCCUCUUCAGCCGCCAUGCCUUCCUGCCAUGAUGGACUGCAUCCACGUAAACCUCUCUUCCUUGAAAUUACUUCUGAAAGGUAUUUGCUCCCAACAAUGUGAAAGUAGUUAGCAGUAUUACCGUCUGAUGAGGUCAUGU
This is a long non-coding RNA of Peromyscus eremicus (cactus mouse), 452 nucleotides long. RefSeq lists it as uncharacterized. The transcript has 3 exons. NCBI's taxonomy places the organism in Eukaryota, Metazoa, Chordata, Mammalia, Rodentia, Cricetidae. The record is from RefSeq and is a predicted model, not a curated record.